This is a long non-coding RNA of Lethenteron reissneri (Far Eastern brook lamprey), 3585 nucleotides long. RefSeq lists it as uncharacterized. The record is from RefSeq and is a predicted model, not a curated record. NCBI's taxonomy places the organism in Eukaryota, Metazoa, Chordata, Hyperoartia, Petromyzontiformes, Petromyzontidae.
UCGACAUUUUAGUUGUCAACACAUUUCAUUUGCAAUCGCGUCACCCGCCCACGCCCCUGCAAUUCUUUCACUUAAUGGGAGUGGAUUUUUCGUUAAUUAUUUCUGAGUCUGCCGUGUCCAACGGACACCGGUGGUACCCAACGGCCGCCGUGCAAUGCACGGAUGUAACCUCGAACUUCUUUCGCACCGUACGUGCGGGGAGAAUCGGAGAAGCCAAGGCACCAAAGGGCGGGCCCUCGGAAGGAUCACACGAUGCGCUCGCGUGGACAAACUCCGCUUCAUCUUCCGAACUGCACUCUGCUCUUUUGCAGCAAGAGGCCCCAGCGGACCUCGGUGGGUGGAGGUUGUCUCUGCUGAUAACUCCUAAUUCCGAGUUGGCGUUGGCAAAUCGUGCAAAUCACGGGGGCCGGCAGCAGUGAGCUCGCAGUAUGCAUACCGCGCACGUAACCCAGUUCGCAUCCAACGCACUUCACAUAUCAAUCGGGGCCCCCGCCGAUUUCCAUGCGAAUACAGAGAGAGAGACGAUGCCGUUGCUUGUGGAAAUUGCCAAGGGUGGAACGUCUCCGACUGGGCGUCUGCACCAGGGGGAGCACUUGUCAAGCCAGUUCCCGUCGGAGAACGGCCUGCGAGUGCGGCCAAGGUCGGAGAGAAUCCCGCGCGGGGAAAGGUACUUGGGGUCUCCCGUGAGCCGGUGGAGCAGCAGAAAGACGUAGGCGCUCCCGGCCACUCCGUGACAGAUGCCCGGCCCCUUCUUCAGAAGGCCCCGUCGCCAGGCGGUCUCGGCGCAGCGCACGCACACCGCCAGGUAGCGAGCCUCGCCCGACAGCAGGUACGCCUUGGCAAACACGUACGCAACACCUGUGGGAGCACCGCAGCAAAGCGUGGAGUGACCUUUGCACGGUCAGUGACCUUCACAAGGUCAGUGACCUACACAUAGUCACUGACCAUCACAAGGUCAGUAACUUUUACACAGUCAGUGACCCUCACAAGUUCAGUGACCUUCACAUGGUCAGUGACCCUUACAAGGUCAGUGACCUUCACUCGACCAAAGGAUGCCCCGUGCAGACCGAGAGCUGAGCAUAAUGCUUACUGCAAGCGUCGAAAAUUGUAGGGGGUGAGCACACACCCCUGCCUCACCCACGUCAUCCACCGGUGCAGCAGUCGGAGAGCUAAAGGCCUCGCAAUUCCACAGUGCAGGCCAAGCCAAUCAGAGCAAUGAUCUUUUGCCUUCACUUCGCGAGAGACGCAGGACCUACUGGAGUCUGCCUCCCGAUGCACCCGAGCGAAAAGCCCACUUCAGACCGACGUUACGCUGCUUGCCCAAACGCCUCGAUAAAUACGUUAGUCGAUUAAACUUGUCCGCGAACACAUUCGCCAUAAAAGCUGACGAGGACAACAAAUAGAAAAAAAAAAUCGGUCGUCCAGAGCACCACCAUGGAGCGUAUUACGACUCAAUUGCCGAUUCACAAAUUAUUUCGAAUGCGGCACCAUCCCAGCAGUGCGCUCCGCUACUGCCGAUGCAAUUAUCUGACUCAACCACUUCAAUGUAAAAUCUACAGCUGUUGCUCCGCAUUCAGCAUCAGCGGCACGGCGAGAAAUACGAGAACGGCGCGCGUGCUCACCACAGCGGGCGCCAAAAUGUCACGAACACAUUUGGAUGAGCAGGUUUAUCAUUCACAAUUUAAUGCUGUUUAUCUGCCCGUGCUUUUGCCUAAAUAGAUCAACAAUUAUCGUGGGUAAGGAAAGAUCUCGCCACAAGAGCACGCUUCUCCGAACCCGAAGCAAUUUAAUCUCCGAGCGUUUCGACAGCCAAUCGCGAGACUGCUCAUUCUUCACGUCAGUCCACGCUCCAGUUUCCUCUGGUCAACUUCCAGCGGUGGACGUUUCUGUGUUUGUCAGGAGUUGUUUUUGUUGUUGUUCUGGAACUCUACACCCGGAUCACCGCCACAGUGACGUUCCAGUCUCAGCAGCUCUCAGGCAUGGAGUCUAUGACCACGGUGGCGAGAUGUUAACUACCUCGCCUGAUAUACAGGAGGUCGUGGGUUCGAUCCCGACACGGACGGCUGCUGUAUAUUUGGAGUUUGCGUGUCUCUCUCCCAUCAUCAUCACGGUGGCUAUGAGAUGUUAACUACCUCGCUUGGUAUACAGGAGGUCGUGGGUUCGAUCUCAACCCUGACGAUGCCUGCUGCUGUUUAGUUUGGAGUUUGCGUGUUGCUUUCGCUCAUCAUCACGGUGGCUAUGAGAUCUUAACUACCUCGCCCGAUAUAUAGGAUGUCGUGGGUUCGAUCCCGACCCUGACGGCUGCUGUAUAUUUGGAGUUUGCGUGUUCUUCCAGUGGUUGUGUGGAUUUUCUGCGGGUCCUACGGUUUUUCACCUCCACAUUUAGAAACAUGCAUUUAGAUUAUUUGGCUGCUAUACAUUUCCACGUGAUAAGGCCAUUUCGUUGAGCUUUCAUUUGUGGCCAGGUCGCUUCUGAAAAAGAGCUAUACAGCUCAGUGGGCCUUAGUUAGUAAAAUAAAAAAAAAAAAUAGUUUUUUUUUAUAUUGCCCUGCCUCACUUCUCAUCUUGGUCUACCUGAUCUUGCCUUGAGUCUUCCCCAGCCAGGAGUUGUACGCACGUAUGUUGUAUGUGUGUAUGUUGUAUGUGUGUAUGUUGAACUUAUUAGGUAACCAUACAUAGCCUACCACGCUAAUCGGAGGUGAGGGGAAAGGACAACAAACUAAACACAAAAAGCAUGUUCUAAAGAAACGAGUUUUCAAUCUAGGUUUUAAAGUGCAUUGCUCCAGUGUCUUCCUAAUAUCGAAAGGAAGAGCGUUCCAGACGUCUGCAGAAGCGCAUCUGAAAGCGUGCGAUGCAUUGACUGUUCGAUGGUUAGCCAACAGCCGAUGCGACGAUGACCGGAGUUUGCUUGAUGGUUUAUGCUCCUUGAAGACAUCAGCAACGUAUCGUGGUUAAUUUCUGGCAAUGACUUUGUGUGUAAUGAGUCCGACCUUAGAACGUUUUCGUUCGCAAACCGGAAGCCAAUGCAGCUCAGCGAGCACUGGACCUACGUGGUCGGAUCUUGAAAUAUCCGUCACGACACAUGCCAAAGAAUUUAACUCACAAUUGGGACCUCUGCUGGUCUUACCAAAUGAGAUCUGCUGUAUAUAGGACAUUUCUAAAUUGUCAAAAACAUCUCAUUCUUCGCAUGGCUGAUGGUGAUGUAGAGCCACAGCUCUAAUUUUACCACUAUAAUUUCCAAGUGGGAGAUGCCAGCCUUCACGCGACCUACUCCGUUAAUUGAGAAAUGGUGAGUGAUGCCACCAUCAACCCGACGAUUGAACAUUGAUCAUCAAUCUCUCGGUCUGCAGAGCAACAACUCAAGCGAUAUGAAAUUCGAAUUAAAGUGAAAAAUUACGAUGAUUAAUUUACAGGCGUUUGCCAAUCCACUGCUGAAUGAGGGCCUCCCCUCGUCAUGUCGGUCAUAGUGGUUGCUUGACUACACCAUUGGAACCUCAUUUGCCAGUAAAAAAAAAUAUGAUAAUUGGUUUUUUACCCUUUUAUCUGGCAACAAAACUGACACCUUUUUUACAAGGAGUCAUGUUU